AAGUUGUUGCGGUUAAAAAGCUCGUAGUUGGAUCUCAGUUCCGGGUCGACGGUUCGCCUCUGGUGAUUAACUGUCGGUCCGAACAGCUCGUCGGCUCGCUCGGGGUGCUCUUCAUCGAGUGUCCCGCGUGGCCGGCACGUUUACUUUGAAAAAAUUAGAGUGCUCAGAGCAGGCUUACCGCCUGAAUAGUUGUGCAUGGAAUAAUGGAAUAGGACCUCGGUUCUAUUUUGUUGGUUUUCGGAACCCGAGGUAAUGAUAAAUAGAGACGGACGGGGGCAUUCGUAUUGCGACGCUAGAGGUGAAAUUCUUGGACCGUCGCAAGACGAACUACUGUGAAAGCAUUUGCCAAGAACGUUCUUAUUAAUCAAGAACGAAAGUUAGAGGUUCGAAGGCGAUCAGAUACCGCCCUAGUUCUAACCAUAAACGAUGCUGACUAGCGAUCCGUCUGUGUUAAUCCCAUGACUAGACGGGCAGCUUCCGGGAAACCAAAGUCUUUGAGUUCCGGGGGAAGUAUGGUUGCAAAGCUGAAACUUAAAGGAAUUGACGGAAGGGCACCACCAGGAGUGGAGCCUGCGGCUUAAUUUGACUCAACACGGGGAACCUCACCAGGCCCGGACACCGGAAGGAUUGACAGAUUGAGAGCUCUUUCUUGAUUCGGUGGGUGGUGGUGCAUGGCCGUUCUUAGUUGGUGGAGCGAUUUGUCUGGUUAAUUCCGAUAACGAACGAGACUUUAGCCUGCUAACUAGUCGGAGGGUCUAAUACAAGUGCCCUCCGCAGCUUCUUAGAGGGAUAAGCGGCAUCUAGC
This 805-nucleotide ribosomal RNA is filed under the name Pseudomma kryotroglodytum. RNAcentral describes it as "SSU rRNA". It matches the Rfam family "Eukaryotic small subunit ribosomal RNA", at positions 607 to 1434 of the family's 1831-position model. The record is from RNAcentral. Lineage: Eukaryota; Metazoa; Arthropoda; Malacostraca; Mysida; Mysidae.